Long non-coding RNA from Zingiber officinale, 129 nucleotides. RefSeq lists it as uncharacterized. Lineage: Eukaryota; Viridiplantae; Streptophyta; Magnoliopsida; Zingiberales; Zingiberaceae. The record is from RefSeq and is a predicted model, not a curated record. The transcript has 3 exons.
CAUUCAAAGGUUCAAUAUCCAAGUUAGCAAUUUGACUCAACACCAACAAAGAGCUAGCUUCAUAUACAUCAACAAUCACCCUAUUCUUCAGAACUACAAUGAACGGAAAGAAAGGUAGCAGUAUUCAGA